CUACAGAGGGUGCAAGCGUUAUUCGGAAUUACUGGGCGUAAAGCGCGCGUAGGCGGAUGAUUAAGUCAGUUGUGAAAGCCCUGGGCUCAACCUAGGAACUGCAUCUGAUACUGGUCGUCUAGAGUUUAAGAGAGGGAAGUGGAAUUCCAGGUGUAGCAGUGAAAUGCGUAGAUAUCUGGAGGAACAUCAGUGGCGAAGACGACUUCCUGGCUUAAAACUGACGCUGAGGUGCGAAAGCGUGGGUAGCGAACGGGAUUAGAAACCCUAGUAGUCC
Molecule: ribosomal RNA, 274 nt
Filed under: uncultured bacterium
Lineage: Bacteria
Description: partial 16S ribosomal RNA
Rfam family: Bacterial small subunit ribosomal RNA
Source: RNAcentral